This 372-nucleotide ribosomal RNA is filed under the name uncultured organism. RNAcentral describes it as "bacterial SSU rRNA". It matches the Rfam family "Bacterial small subunit ribosomal RNA", at positions 526 to 896 of the family's 1533-position model. The record is from RNAcentral.
CGUAGGGGGCAAGCGUUGUCCGGAUUUAUUGGGCGUAAAGAGCGUGUAGGCGGCCAGAUAGGUCGGUUGUGAAAACUAGAGGCUCAACCUCUAGACGUCGACCGAAACCAUCUGGCUAGAGUCCGGAAGAGGAGAGUGGAAUUCCUGGUGUAGCGGUGGAAUGCGCAGAUAUCAGGAAGAACACCCGUGGCGAAGGCGGCUCUCUGGGACGGUACUGACGCUGAGACGCGAAAGCGUGGGGAGCGAACAGGAUUAGAUACCCUGGUAGUCCACGCUGUAAACGAUGGGUGCUAGGUGUGGGGGGUGUCGACUCCCCCCGUGCCGCAGCUAACGCAUUAAGCACCCCGCCUGGGGAGUACGGCCGCAAGGCUA